This 492-nucleotide ribosomal RNA is filed under the name Salmonella enterica subsp. enterica serovar Enteritidis. RNAcentral describes it as "partial 23S ribosomal RNA". It matches the Rfam family "Bacterial large subunit ribosomal RNA", at positions 140 to 596 of the family's 2925-position model. The record is from RNAcentral. Lineage: Bacteria; Pseudomonadati; Pseudomonadota; Gammaproteobacteria; Enterobacterales; Enterobacteriaceae.
UCGUCACACUAUCAUUAACUGAAUCCAUAGGUUAAUGAGGCGAACCGGGGGAACUGAAACAUCUAAGUACCCCGAGGAAAAGAAAUCAACCGAGAUUCCCCCAGUAGCGGCGAGCGAACGGGGAGGAGCCCAGAGCCUGAAUCAGCAUGUGUGUUAGUGGAAGCGUCUGGAAAGGCGCGCGAUACAGGGUGACAGCCCCGUACACAAAAGCGCAUGUGCUGUGAGCUCGAUGAGUAGGGCGGGACACGUGGUAUCCUGUCUGAAUAUGGGGGGACCAUCCUCCAAGGCUAAAUACUCCUGACUGACCGAUAGUGAACCAGUACCGUGAGGGAAAGGCGAAAAGAACCCCGGCGAGGGGAGUGAAAAAGAACCUGAAACCGUGUACGUACAAGCAGUGGGAGCCCCACCACCAAAGCAUUUGCUGUACCGCGUUGACGGAGCGAAGCGACGUCAAACCGAUAAAACAGCAGUGUAAAGUGAGCCGCAGGGCGC